This 67-nucleotide transfer RNA is filed under the name Julodis variolaris. Its description in RNAcentral is "tRNA-Arg". The record is from RNAcentral. Lineage: Eukaryota; Metazoa; Arthropoda; Insecta; Coleoptera; Buprestidae.
AAAUAAGAAACAAAUAGAUUUGUAAUUAGUUUCGACCUAAUCUUAGAUGUUAACUCAUCCUUAUUUU